This 901-nucleotide ribosomal RNA is filed under the name Bacillus tequilensis KCTC 13622. Its description in RNAcentral is "bacterial SSU rRNA". It matches the Rfam family "Bacterial small subunit ribosomal RNA", at positions 59 to 941 of the family's 1533-position model. The record is from RNAcentral. Lineage: Bacteria; Bacillati; Bacillota; Bacilli; Caryophanales; Bacillaceae.
CAGUCGAGCGGACAGAUGGGAGCUUGCUCCCUGAUGUUAGCGGCGGACGGGUGAGUAACACGUGGGUAACCUGCCUGUAAGACUGGGAUAACUCCGGGAAACCGGGGCUAAUACCGGAUGGUUGUUUGAACCGCAUGGUUCAAACAUAAAAGGUGGCUUCGGCUACCACUUACAGAUGGACCCGCGGCGCAUUAGCUAGUUGGUGAGGUAAUGGCUCACCAAGGCAACGAUGCGUAGCCGACCUGAGAGGGUGAUCGGCCACACUGGGACUGAGACACGGCCCAGACUCCUACGGGAGGCAGCAGUAGGGAAUCUUCCGCAAUGGACGAAAGUCUGACGGAGCAACGCCGCGUGAGUGAUGAAGGUUUUCGGAUCGUAAAGCUCUGUUGUUAGGGAAGAACAAGUACCGUUCGAAUAGGGCGGUACCUUGACGGUACCUAACCAGAAAGCCACGGCUAACUACGUGCCAGCAGCCGCGGUAAUACGUAGGUGGCAAGCGUUGUCCGGAAUUAUUGGGCGUAAAGGGCUCGCAGGCGGUUUCUUAAGUCUGAUGUGAAAGCCCCCGGCUCAACCGGGGAGGGUCAUUGGAAACUGGGGAACUUGAGUGCAGAAGAGGAGAGUGGAAUUCCACGUGUAGCGGUGAAAUGCGUAGAGAUGUGGAGGAACACCAGUGGCGAAGGCGACUCUCUGGUCUGUAACUGACGCUGAGGAGCGAAAGCGUGGGGAGCGAACAGGAUUAGAUACCCUGGUAGUCCACGCCGUAAACGAUGAGUGCUAAGUGUUAGGGGGUUUCCGCCCCUUAGUGCUGCAGCUAACGCAUUAAGCACUCCGCCUGGGGAGUACGGUCGCAAGACUGAAACUCAAAGGAAUUGACGGGGGCCCGCACAAGCGGUGGAGCAUG